UACAGAGGGUGCGAGCGUUGUUCGGAAUUAUUGGGCGUAAAGGGCGCGUAGGCGGUGCGGUAAGUCACCUGUGAAAUCUCCUGGCUCAACUGGGAGCUUGCAGGCGAAACUGCCGUGCUGGAGUGUGGGAGAGGUGCGUGGAAUUCCUGGUGUAGCGGUGAAAUGCGUAGAUAUCGGGAGGAACACCUGUGGCGAAAGCGGCGCACUGGACCACAUCUGACGCUGAGGCGCGAAAGCUAGGGGAGCAAACAGG
This 253-nucleotide ribosomal RNA is filed under the name uncultured bacterium. Its description in RNAcentral is "partial 16S ribosomal RNA". It matches the Rfam family "Bacterial small subunit ribosomal RNA", at positions 524 to 776 of the family's 1533-position model. The record is from RNAcentral.